RNAcentral lists this ribosomal RNA (447 nucleotides) under uncultured Bacillota bacterium. RNAcentral describes it as "bacterial SSU rRNA". It matches the Rfam family "Bacterial small subunit ribosomal RNA", at positions 356 to 795 of the family's 1533-position model. Lineage: Bacteria; Bacillati; Bacillota. The record is from RNAcentral.
GGGGAAUUUUCCGCAAUGGGCGAAAGCCUGAUGGAGCAACGCCGCGUGAGUGAAGAAGGUCUUAGGAUUGUAAAGCUCUGUCCUUAGGGAAGAACCGUGGGUAUAACAAAUGAUACCCACCUGACGGUACCUUUGGAGGAAGCACUGGCUAACUACGUGCCAGCAGCCGCGGUAAUACGUAGAGUGCAAGCGUUGUCCGGAAUUAUUGGGCGUAAAGGGUACGCAGGCGGAUAAUCAAGUCAAGCGUGAAAGGUGUCGGCUUAACCGACAGACUGCGUUUGAAACUGGUUAUCUUGAGUGUAACAGAGGAGAGUGGAAUUCCUAGUGUAGUGGUGAAAUACGUAGAUAUUAGGAAGAACACCAGUGGCGAAGGCGACUCUCUGGGUUAACACUGACGCUGAGGUACGAAAGCUGGGGGAGCGAAAGGGAUUAGAUACCCCUGUAGUC